This 482-nucleotide ribosomal RNA is filed under the name uncultured bacterium. RNAcentral describes it as "partial 16S ribosomal RNA". It matches the Rfam family "Bacterial small subunit ribosomal RNA", at positions 28 to 507 of the family's 1533-position model. The record is from RNAcentral.
GACGAACGCUGGCGGCGUGCUUAACACAUGCAAGUCGAACGCUGAAGCUCAGCUUGCUGGGUGGAUGAGUGGCGAACGGGUGAGUAACACGUGAGUAACCUGCCCUCUUCUUUGGGAUAACGCCCGGAAACGGGUGCUAAUACUGGAUAUUCACUGAUUCUCGCAUGGGGGUUGGUGGAAAGGUUUUUUCUGGUGGGGGAUGGGCUCGCGGCCUAUCAGCUUGUUGGUGGGGUGAUGGCCUUCCAAGGCUUUGACGGGUAGCCGGCCUGAGAGGGUGACCGGUCACAUUGGGACUGAGAUACGGCCCAGACUCCUACGGGAGGCAGCAGUGGGGAAUAUUGCACAAUGGGCGAAAGCCUGAUGCAGCGACGCCGCGUGAGGGAUGGAGGCCUUCGGGUUGUAAACCUCUUUCGCUCAUGGUCAAGCCGCAGCUUUGGGUUGUGGUGAGGGUAGUGGGUAAAGAAGCGCCGGCUAACUACGUG